GAUGAACGCUGGCGGCGUGCCUAAUACAUGCAAGUCGAGCGAACAGACGAGGAGCUUGCUCCUCUGACGUUAGCGGCGGACGGGUGAGUAACACGUGGAUAACCUACCUAUAAGACUGGGAUAACUUCGGGAAACCGGAGCUAAUACCGGAUAAUAUAUUGAACCGCAUGGUUCAAUAGUGAAAGACGGUUUUGUUGUCACUUAUAGAUGGAUCCGCGCCGCAUUAGCUAGUUGGUAAGGUAACGGCUUACCAAGGCAACGAUGCGUAGCCGACCUGAGAGGGUGAUCGGCCACACUGGAACUGAGACACGGUCCAGACUCCUACGGGAGGCAGCAGUAGGGAAUCUUCCGCAAAGGGCGAAAGCUUGACGGAGCAACGCCGCGUGAGUGAUGAAGGUCUUCGGAUCGUAAAACUCUGUUAUUAGGGAAGAACAAAUGUGUAAGUAACUAUGCACGUCUUGACGGUACCUAAUCAGAAAGCCACGGCUAACUACGUG
This 497-nucleotide ribosomal RNA is filed under the name uncultured bacterium. RNAcentral's name for it is "partial 16S ribosomal RNA". It matches the Rfam family "Bacterial small subunit ribosomal RNA", at positions 28 to 507 of the family's 1533-position model. The record is from RNAcentral.